AGUGAACGCUGGCGGUAGGCCUAACACAUGCAAGUCGAACGGCAGCACAGUAAGAGCUUGCUCUUACGGGUGGCGAGUGGCGGACGGGUGAGGAAUACAUCGGAAUCUACUUUUUCGUGGGGGAUAACGUAGGGAAACUUACGCUAAUACCGCAUACGACCUACGGGUGAAAGCAUGGGAUCUUCGGACCUUGCGCGAUUGAAUGAGCCGAUGUCGGAUUAGCUAGUUGGCGGGGUAAAGGCCCACCAAGGCGACGAUCCGUAGCUGGUCUGAGAGGAUGAUCAGCCACACUGGAACUGAGACACGGUCCAGACUCCUACGGGAGGCAGCAGUGGGGAAUAUUGGACAAUGGGCGCAAGCCUGAUCCAGCUAUACCGCGUGGGUGAAGAAGGCCUUCGGGUUGUAAAGCCCUUUUGUUAGGAAAGAAAAGCAGCAGGUUAAUACCCCGCUGUUCUGACGGUACCCAAAGAAUAAGCACCGGCUAACUUCGUG
Molecule: ribosomal RNA, 492 nt
Filed under: uncultured bacterium
Lineage: Bacteria
Description: partial 16S ribosomal RNA
Rfam family: Bacterial small subunit ribosomal RNA
Source: RNAcentral